This is a long non-coding RNA of Onychomys torridus (southern grasshopper mouse), 1082 nucleotides long. RefSeq lists it as uncharacterized. The record is from RefSeq and is a predicted model, not a curated record. The transcript has 3 exons. NCBI's taxonomy places the organism in Eukaryota, Metazoa, Chordata, Mammalia, Rodentia, Cricetidae.
GGAGGAGCUUCGAGGAUGCCCCAACAACAGUGGCCCAGGCUGCGGAGCGGCCCCGGCUGCUCUGCUGCCAACUUCAAAGGGCUUGGUGCUGAAAAUCCAGAGGACCGAGUUCGAGACUCACUUUGACUCACAACACACUAUCAAGUUGCUUCCUCAACACGGCCUCAGAUGCACCAGCAUCUCAGGGCAACAACUUUAACUCGACCGGCCCUCCGCGGCGGCGGGCAAAGUGAGGAGCGGGCUGGGAGGCGGUGCCCCCCCCGCACUACUCUCCGCUCGGCCCGACUUGGAGGGGGCGGUGCUGGGGAGCAGGAGGCGACCUCGCCGCGUCGCGGGAGCCGCCCCCGAGCAGCCUCACCUUCCGCACGCGCUUCUUCCGGAUGCUCUCCACCGCAAACACCUGCUCGCCUAUGGCUGACAGCUCCAUGCGGGGCGGCGGGCGACGGGCCGGGGGCCGGGCCGGGCCGGGCCGGGUCGGGGGUGGAGCUGCGGGGCCGCGGCUGCUGCGCGCGAUGCUCGGGGCGGCGGGGACCCCUUCAGGCUCGGCCGGGCGCGCACGCGCACGCGCGCACACCCCCUAGCGCUCCCUCACGCCGCCGCCGACGUUCCAUUUUUGAACCUGCGCAACGUUUUCCUCCGCGCCAGCGGGGCGGGCGGACGGGCGGGCGGACGGGCGGACGGGCAGGCGGGCGCGAGCGCGCGCGCGCGCGCGCGCGGGGAGGAGGGGGGCGGGCCUCUGAGAGCGCCCAGCGGGUCAGCCCCGCCCCCUCGCGGCCGGGACCCCGCCCCUUUCCCUGGCCCCGCCCCUUUCCCUACCCCGGCCUGCUAGCCAAGUAGGGAGGCUGGCGGCGCGUCGGAUGCUCCCGGCUUACUUGGAGCCCGGGGUUUGAGCGUAACGAGGUGCGGUGCGCCCCAUCUCUCUCUUCCGCUUCUGAGCUGGACGUGAUCGUUCCCCCAACUCCUCCCCGUGACUCGGAAGGUCCGAAACGGUGUGGCCCCGAAGCCGAGAGCAGCAGGCCUGUGAUCUCAACACUUGGGCAGCUGAGGCAGGAGGAUCAGGAAGAGUUCAUGGCCAGCCUGAA